UCAGGACCCAGACAUAGGCUCCACUACCAUAGCCAUUCAUGUGAUGGGCACAACUAGGACAGAGGUGGUUGCCAAUACCUCUUCUCCAAAGUAUAAUCAUUCAAAGAGUAAAUAUCUAUUGAACAGACUAAGUGCCAAGCUCUGUUUUAAGCUCUGUUUCAGUCUCCUCAAAGGGGCUUAUGAUGGAACUCUACAGCUGCAAUUUCAGCAUCUGCAUUUGCUCCUUCAGAGGUUUUUGAACUGGAUUUGUUGUAUAUAAGCCUGCUACUCGUUUCACUCUAGAAGGAACAAAUACAAGAAUGGCGAUAACUGUAACUGCUGGAUUAACUCUGGGAAUGCCAGCCAGUGUCUACAGCUGUUAACAGGUGCCAGUUUAGGAUUCAAUGGGCCUAUAGCAAAUGCUGCACCAUUUACUUUAACUCUUACUUCUACUUCGUACAGUGGGGGGACAAGGGAAACUUUCCCGUUUCAACAACAACUCUAGCAGCUCCCAAGGGAUUUACUCCAAAUAAUUUGGGUAGAAAAUAACAACUACAAACAUAUCAGCAAAUGUCUCUCUAAGAAAAGCCAUUGCUGGCUUGGUCAGCUUGCUCUUCCAAAGUACAGACACAACAUCAAGACAUGGGCAGGAGGUUAUAGGUAUGACUUUGAAAACUGCUGUAGCUACUUCAGCUGUAGCCAGUGAGGAACUAGGUGGGGUAUACUUAUUACCUCAUAAUAUAAAAAGACUGAUAGAAAAGUGAUAAAAGGAUAAUAAACCGCUUAAGGACAAAAAUCGUCCACAUGUCAGGAUAUAGAAAUUCUCAAGAAAUUGUAAAUAAACAGAAAAUAGAUUUUAAAAGGAAAAUAUUAAAGCAAUGAUAAAAGUGUAAGAAGAUAUUAAGGUAGCAGAGCAGCUUCUGCCAUUGACUGCCAGUGGAUGAGAGAAAAAUUCCUCAAUCUCAACAAUUUGAAAAUAGAAAUUGCUCAGGAGUUAAAUGAAGCAGCCAUAGCUCUCAGAACCUGGAAACUAUUACCAGGACUUCAAAACGAAGAUACAACUUCCGCACACUACUUCACAAUCAUGGCUCAGAAGUUUCAGGGGUAGCUUCAAAAGUACAGACAACAGAUUGAAUAACUAGCAAAAGAACCUUCUUGCCACUCAAGCAAUUAGUUCUCGUAUAACCCUGCAAGAUUUAUCAAGAGUUGCACAGAAAAUACAUGAACAUUUGUAGCUUUGGCUGUGCGACCUUGGUCCAUUAUUAAACAGGUAAAGGUAUUCAAAGAACAAUGUCUUCAGCACAGAAAAAUGUUGUUGGGAAAUGCUAUAAAUGUGUUUGAAGCCAGAAAACAGAAGCCAAGAGGUGGCAGAAUGCAUGCAGUUAUUACCAGACCCACCCCUUUCAGCAACAUGCAAAUGAAGCAGCCUUCACCUCAACACUUAGCAGCCUCAGCUGGUAGCAGGGUUUCAGCUGUUUCUAGGGCUUAGUUUGGUACACAUUCAACUCAGCUAUUGGCAGAAAAAGUACCAGCAAGGCCACAUUUGGAUUUGGAAAAAUAAAUAAACCUUCAGAAAUCUUAGUGCAAGCUUUGGCAGCUCAAAUAACAUCUGCAUUUAACUUCAGCAAUUCUGGCAUCACAGUACCCGUUGGUUGGACAUACAGGAUGUCUAAUCCUGUCUCUGUAGGUUUUGGAACAGGAGGGCAGCUCUUUCAGUUGAAGAAACCUCCAACUGGAAACAAAACAAGAAAAAUGGUAA
RNAcentral lists this long non-coding RNA (1738 nucleotides) under Homo sapiens (human). RNAcentral describes it as "non-protein coding lnc-ANKRD50-9:1". The record is from RNAcentral. Lineage: Eukaryota; Metazoa; Chordata; Mammalia; Primates; Hominidae.